RNAcentral lists this transfer RNA (89 nucleotides) under Alphaproteobacteria bacterium. Its description in RNAcentral is "tRNA-Ile". It matches the Rfam family "tRNA". From Rfam's summary of the family: Transfer RNA (tRNA) molecules are approximately 80 nucleotides in length. Their secondary structure includes four short double-helical elements and three loops (D, anti-codon, and T loops). Further hydrogen bonds mediate the characteristic L-shaped molecular structure. tRNAs have two regions of fundamental functional importance: the anti-codon, which is responsible for specific mRNA codon recognition, and the 3' end, to which the tRNAs corresponding amino acid is attached (by aminoacyl-tRNA synthetases). tRNAs cope with the degeneracy of the genetic code in two manners: having more than one tRNA (with a specific anti-codon) for a particular amino acid; and 'wobble' base-pairing, i.e. permitting non-standard base-pairing at the 3rd anti-codon position. Lineage: Bacteria; Pseudomonadati; Pseudomonadota; Alphaproteobacteria. The record is from RNAcentral.
GGGGGCGUAGCUCAACGGCGGAGCAGCGGGUUUAUACCCCGUAGCGCCAGAUAAGCGGCAGGUUGUGGGUUCGACUCCCACCGCCCCUU